This 73-nucleotide transfer RNA is filed under the name Ictidomys tridecemlineatus (thirteen-lined ground squirrel). RNAcentral describes it as "Spermophilus tridecemlineatus (thirteen-lined ground squirrel) tRNA". It matches the Rfam family "tRNA". From Rfam's summary of the family: Transfer RNA (tRNA) molecules are approximately 80 nucleotides in length. Lineage: Eukaryota; Metazoa; Chordata; Mammalia; Rodentia; Sciuridae. The record is from Rfam by way of RNAcentral.
GGGGAUGUGGCUCAGUUGGUAGAGUGUUUGCCUUGCAUGGAGAAGGCCCUGGGUUCAAUCCCCAGCAUCACAC